GACGACGCUGGCGGCGUGCCUAAUACAUAGCAAGUUGAGCGCUGAAGGUUGGUACUUGUACCGACUGGAUGAGCAGCGAACGGGUGAGUAACGCGUGGGGAAUCUGCCUUUGAGCGGGGGACAACAUUUGGAAACGAAUGCUAAUACCGCAUAAAAACUUUAAACACAAGUUUUAAGUUUGAAAGAUGCAAUUGCAUCACUCAAAGAUGAUCCCGCGUUGUAUUAGCUAGUUGGUGAGGUAAAGGCUCACCAAGGCGAUGAUACAUAGCCGACCUGAGAGGGUGAUCGGCCACAUUGGGACUGAGACACGGCCCAAACUCCUACGGGAGGCAGCAGUAGGGAAUCUUCGGCAAUGGACGAAAGUCUGACCGAGCAACGCCGCGUGAGUGAAGAAGGUUUUCGGAUCGUAAAACUCUGUUGGUAGAGAAGAACGUUGGUGAGAGUGGAAAGCUCAUCAAGUGACGGUAACUACCCAGAAAGGGACGGCUAACUACGUG
RNAcentral lists this ribosomal RNA (497 nucleotides) under uncultured bacterium. Its description in RNAcentral is "bacterial SSU rRNA". It matches the Rfam family "Bacterial small subunit ribosomal RNA", at positions 33 to 507 of the family's 1533-position model. The record is from RNAcentral.